Brassica napus (rape) is the source of this 116-nucleotide non-coding RNA. Lineage: Eukaryota; Viridiplantae; Streptophyta; Magnoliopsida; Brassicales; Brassicaceae. The record is from Rfam.
GUCGAUGAAGAUGUAAUCUAACUGAAUGAGGUGCAGUGGAGCUGAGACCCUGUUUACAGGGAGAACCCCUUGGCAUAAGCUGCAAUUUCUUUGAAUUCUACGGAUUUUACUGAGAC